Molecule: long non-coding RNA, 759 nt
Organism: Bolinopsis microptera
Lineage: Eukaryota; Metazoa; Ctenophora; Tentaculata; Lobata; Bolinopsidae
Exons: 4
Source: RefSeq, a predicted model, not a curated record
AAAAAAUUAGGUAUCAUGAAUCAUGAGACAGUUGACAAUGACAUGGAUAGCCUGAACGAGAGACUGGAACUUAGAGGCAGCACCCGACACGCAGGUAUAAAACUUGGUACAUUUGUUUUGUCGAUAUUUCGAGACGUUUUUGUAACAAAGCAUGUCUUAUUCAGGUGGAGAUUGCUGGAGGAUAGUGUACUGAUGUGUGAUGAGGACUUCGCUGUAACUUUGACGAUAGGACAAACUCGAGUUGGUAAUCGGAGAUAAACCCCAGGAGAUCACAUAGGAACCGUGUGCUAAACGGAGCAUAGGGAGUUUAUAGUUGCAGAAACCUUCUUCAGUAUUAGCAGCGUAACUUCUAGGAUUUGGUAGGCGAGAGUUUUAAGACGGACCGGCCGCUAUAAAAUAGAUGGUAAAACUGGAGAGGUAGCCGAUUUACACGGGGAGCAGGAGUAAGAAGAAUACGAUCUAAAGAGGACUCUGAAGGACGAGAAGGCCUCGACAUCGCGUACGACUCUGUACGACUGAGGCAGGAUAAAGACUUUUGGACGUAUAGACAGGACUUUGAAUAUUGUUUUGAAAUAAUGGGUAUUAAAAUUAUGAUACAGACUAGAGAUUAAGUUUUGGGAUAAAGUUUUGAACGAAUAAUCUUGUGCUUAUGAGUUUUCAAGAAUCCGAUUUAGCAGAAGUUUAGAUCAUGAAAUGUUAAAUUAUCAUUACUAGAGAAAUUGUGUAAUACUGUUGUUAUGUUUUGAGUAUUAAAUGUUU